This 435-nucleotide ribosomal RNA is filed under the name uncultured bacterium. RNAcentral describes it as "bacterial SSU rRNA". It matches the Rfam family "Bacterial small subunit ribosomal RNA", at positions 43 to 524 of the family's 1533-position model. The record is from RNAcentral.
CAGGCCUAACACAUGCAAGUCGAGCGGGCCCUUCGGGGUCAGCGGCGGACGGGUGAGUAACGCGUGGGAACGUGCCCUCUGGUUCGGAAUAACUCAGGGAAACUUGAGCUAAUACCGGAUACGCCCUUUUGGGGAAAGGUUUGCUGCCGGAGGAUCGGCCCGCGUCUGAUUAGCUAGUUGGUGGGGUAACGGCCUACCAAGGCGACGAUCAGUAGCUGGUCUGAGAGGAUGAUCAGCCACACUGGGACUGAGACACGGCCCAGACUCCUACGGGAGGCAGCAGUGGGGAAUAUUGGACAAUGGGGGCAACCCUGAUCCAGCCAUGCCGCGUGAGUGAUGAAGGCCUUAGGGUUGUAAAGCUCUUUUAUCCGGGACGAUAAUGACGGUACCGGAGGAAUAAGCCCCGGCUAACUUCGUGCCAGCAGCCGCGGUAAU